RNAcentral lists this long non-coding RNA (291 nucleotides) under Capsella rubella. RNAcentral's name for it is "long non-coding RNA (CRUB_LNC003534)". Lineage: Eukaryota; Viridiplantae; Streptophyta; Magnoliopsida; Brassicales; Brassicaceae. The record is from RNAcentral.
AAAAAUACAAUAAUUUCAAAAAAGCUCUAAAUAGGAACGAUAUGAUUGAGGAAAAGAUGUGCAUCAAAAUUAAAUGAUCUAAAACUUUUUUUUUUUUUUUUUUUGGGUGAAAGAAAUAUCUAAAACUUUUAAAACAGGAUCUCUUCCCUAUCCACAAGUCCACAUGGCUAAAGGAUUAAAUCCAACAAAUAUACAAACAACACGUCGUUCCAUCCAUAUACAGAGAGAUAGAUAAUGUGUCGUCUUCUAUUAUUAAAAACAACACGGUUUGCAUUAUCUGAUGUUAAAAAU